AUGCUUCUCCUAAAGACUAANCCAUGCAUGCCUUUCGAAUAAGAGGAAGCAAUUCUCUCUGAAUCUGCGAACGGCUCCGCAAACCAGUUGUAAACCAUGGCAAGCAAGCCCGGGUUCGGUCUUCACGGGUCGGGCUCGGGCGAAACGGAUAACCCUGGUAAUUCUGAGGCUAAUACGAGAACGCAAUCCCUGGUCGACCGGGCAACUGGAAGGCUGGGGAACGUGUGAAUCAAGCGCGAGGAUGAUACCGGGAAAGGGCACACGUUCGGACCGCGACAAAAAAAGGAUCGGGUUCCCUGACCUCACGGAAGGGGGGCUCGGCCCUAGCGGCUCUUGCAAUGUGCUUCUGACCUAUCAACUAGACGGCAGCGUAAGGGACAUGCCAUGGUAACAACGGGUACAGAGGAUUAGGGUUCGAUCCUGGAGAGUGGGCCUGAGAGAUUGCUCAUACUUCUAAGGAAGGCAGCAGGCGCGCAACGUUCCCCUUGGGCAAUGCUCGAGGGCGUUAGGGGACAUAUGAAUGCCUGCCCAAUGGGUGGGCAAUUCAAAUGGGUUCGUUCUAAACAGCCCU
RNAcentral lists this ribosomal RNA (571 nucleotides) under Paradiachea cylindrica. RNAcentral's name for it is "SSU rRNA". It matches the Rfam family "Eukaryotic small subunit ribosomal RNA", at positions 28 to 536 of the family's 1831-position model. The record is from RNAcentral. Lineage: Eukaryota; Evosea; Eumycetozoa.